This 242-nucleotide ribosomal RNA is filed under the name uncultured Bacteroidota bacterium. RNAcentral's name for it is "uncultured Bacteroidetes bacterium partial 16S ribosomal RNA". It matches the Rfam family "Bacterial small subunit ribosomal RNA", at positions 796 to 1041 of the family's 1533-position model. Lineage: Bacteria; Pseudomonadati; Bacteroidota. The record is from RNAcentral.
CACGCCGUAAACGAUGAUCACUCGCUGUUAGCGAUACACAGUUAGCGGCUAAGCAAAAGCAUUAAGUGAUCCACCUGGGGAGUACGGCCGCAAGGCUGAAACUCAAAGGAAUUGACGGGGGCCCGCACAAGCGGAGGAACAUGUGGUUUAAUUCGAUGAUACGCGAGGAACCUUACCUGGGCUUAAAUGUUGAGUGCAUGAUGUGGAAACAUGUCUUCCCUUCGGGGCUCUCAGCAAGGUGC